AGUAAUCUUCGGAUUCGAAGCUCUAUACUUUUCAAUUUCUUGCUUUAACCUAGCUUCUCUCCUAUCUUUCCUCCUAGAAUCCAUCCUCUGAUCAAUAGAUUCCCAAAUCGCAUCAGCUUCUUUAUCAUCUUCAUCAUACUCAGCAGACGCAAACAACCCCACAUCAUUUCCUUCAAAUUCAUCAAAUUUCUGAUUCUCAUCAUACCCUUUCUCCUCCGCAUCCUCCUCUUCGUCUUCCUCUCCAGCACCCUUUCCACGUCCACGUCCAACUCCAGUCGCCGGUGCACCCCCAACAGCUGACCGAUCAGGGAGGUCAGGAGCAGCACGAGCCGGACCAAUAUCAGAACGGGUCGUGAAACCGGUAGCACCACGACCCAACCCAGCAACAUAAUUCGGAGGAGGUCUCGUGUUAAGAAAUUCAAGCCGGGCUUUCGGUGCCCCGGGAGCUUGCAU
Molecule: unclassified non-coding RNA, 453 nt
Filed under: Hevea brasiliensis (rubber tree)
Lineage: Eukaryota; Viridiplantae; Streptophyta; Magnoliopsida; Malpighiales; Euphorbiaceae
Source: RNAcentral